This is a long non-coding RNA of Homo sapiens (human), 1392 nucleotides long. RefSeq annotates it as FABP6 antisense RNA 1. The transcript is spliced from 4 exons. The record is from RefSeq and is a predicted model, not a curated record. Lineage: Eukaryota; Metazoa; Chordata; Mammalia; Primates; Hominidae.
UUGGUACAGAGAAUGGAGCUGCAAGACUCCCCUGGUCAGAUCACGUCGGGUCUCCUGAAGACACCAGGAGGAUUCUACUGUGCACAGGUUGAUUCAGUGUGUUUCCCAGUAAAGAAAAUAGGAUGCGGCCGUGCGCAGUGACUUACACCUGUAAUCCCAGCACUUUGGGAGGCCGAGGCGGGUGGAUCACCUGAGCUUCACGGAGCUACCUGAGUCAGCGCCUGCAUCUCCACCACCAUCAUCAUCGUCACUGUCUUCAUCGCCUCUGGGCUGGACCAGCCCCUGCCUGUGAGCUCCCUGGAGCCAGAGGUGCAAAGUCUGCAAUGACACAAAAAGCCAGCACGCUGGGAGGGGCUCUGGAGACCAUCUCAUUGUUCAUUCAUUUGUCUAUUCAAUCCAUUUUAUUGACUGCUCACUGUGUGCCAGACACAUGGGCCCUGGAGAUACAGAAGAAACACGUGAGGUCCCUGCCCUCCAGGAAUUAAGAAGAUAAAGUCAAAAGUGCUGUAAAGAACAACAGGAUGAUGGGCCAGUAUUUGAAGAGGUCGUUUUCAGAUGGGGUGGGCAGGGAAGGCAUGUCUGAGAAAGGAAUCUUUGUGGACACCUUAAUGCUUAGGACAUGGGGCUGAGAAAAGCAGGCAGAGGAAUUUCAGAUAACGCCUCAGUUGGUAAAAAGCUAGGGGGAUGGUGCAGGCAAGGAAUAGAAGGAAGGACAGUGUGGUGGGAGUUUGGUGGUGAGUGAAAGAGGGGCCUGGGGACCGUGCACACUUGAAGGCUGUAGCCGGGCAUCUGGCUUGGAUUUUGAGGACUGAGGGGACCAUUACAGGGCUUUAGGCAUGGGGAUGGCACGAUCCAAUUUACAUUUUUCAUGUCAUUCCAUCUGCUUCCUGGAGAACACAUGAUAGGAAGAAGGAACGUGGAAGCAGGGAGACCAGUGAGGUGGUAACUCCAGAAACAAAGAGGUGGCGGCUGAUGGGGCGAGUGGGAGGAGCCUGACCCUGGUGGAUUUUGGAGGCACAGAAGGCAAACCUGCUGGGGGAUUGUCUGUGGGGGACAGGGAGAGCAAAGACUGGGUGCCUUCCUCUUCCUGCCUUCCUCUUCCCGCUUUGCACCCCUUCUGGCCUGAAUCAUCUCCCUCAGGGAGUGGUGCCCUCGGGUCCCAAGAGGGCUGCAGACUGCAGGCCUCCCUGAAGUGAAGAUGCAGCAAAGUGGAAGACAGCACACGGAAACCAUGCAGCAGCUCCCUCUGGGGAAGAGAAAGAGGGAGCCACGUUGCUCUAUACCCUGUGGACUUCUUGCAAUAUGAACCUUCAUGGACCUAAGAAAAAUAAUAAUAAAGGAAAAAAUAGCCAGGUGGGCUGGUUCACACCUGGGAUCCCAGCACUUUAGGAG